RNAcentral lists this ribosomal RNA (302 nucleotides) under uncultured bacterium. Its description in RNAcentral is "bacterial SSU rRNA". It matches the Rfam family "Bacterial small subunit ribosomal RNA", at positions 775 to 1067 of the family's 1533-position model. The record is from RNAcentral.
GGAUUAGAUACCCUGGUAGUCCACGCCGUAAACGAUGAUCACUGGAUGUCGGCAUUGCUUUGCAACGUCGGUGUCGUAGCUAACGCGCUAAGUGGUCCGCCUGGGGAUUACGGUCGCAAGACUAAAACUUAAAGGAAUUGACGGGGGUCCGCACAAGCGGUGGAACAUGUGGUUUAAUUCGACACUACGCGAGGAACCUUACCUAGGCUUGACAUGCUUUUGACCGCCAUAGAAAUAUGGUUUUCUAGGCUUCGGUUUAGACAAUUGCACAGGUGCUGCAUGGCUGUCGUCAGCUCGUGCCG